This 253-nucleotide ribosomal RNA is filed under the name uncultured bacterium. Its description in RNAcentral is "partial 16S ribosomal RNA". It matches the Rfam family "Bacterial small subunit ribosomal RNA", at positions 524 to 776 of the family's 1533-position model. The record is from RNAcentral.
UACGUAGGUGGCGAGCGUUGUCCGGAUUUACUGGGCGUAAAGGGAGCGUAGGCGGACUUUUGAGUGAGAUGUGAAAUACUCGGGCUCAACUUGAGUGCUGCAUUUCAAACUGGAAGUCUAGAGUGCAGGAGAGGAGAAUGGAAUUCCUAGUGUAGCGGUGAAAUGCGUAGAGAUUAGGAAGAACACCAGUGGCGAAGGCGAUUCUCUGGACUGUAACUGACGCUGAGGCUCGAAAGCGUGGGGAGCAAACAGG